AAAAACCAGGACACUCACCAUCAGCUGGGCUGCCACCACAACACUGCGGUUGCAGACUUGGAAGUAUCCCACUGUAGUUACACUUGAUUCUGCAAAGGUUCCUGUGGAACUGAAGCACAUGUCAUAUUCUUGGUCAGCUGGGAAUGCCCUGUGCAAUCACAUGGUGGCACUUCUGUUUCCAACUGCUCACUACAGUACUAUGGACUUCAAGACAGUGCCAUUGCCUCUGUCGUGCUCCAGCUCACUGCAGACCUGGCACCGGCCAAGGACACGGAGGCUACAAAUGAUAUGGCAGUGUGUAAACCAGUGGAAAGGACAAAAAAUGGGGUCAGGACUGGUGUGAAGUGCACACUGUACAGAGCAUAUGUCAGUCCUCUUCCAGAUCAUCGCGUCAUGGCCAGCGGGGAGAAACUGAAAGACAUGCGUCCACAACCAGGGAUAUGCAAGUUGCUGCACGGGCUUGACAACCUUACUUUGGUGGACUCUAAAUUUGGCCCUGUUCCAUUUAGUCUGUGGUCUGUGCUUUCUUAUCAAUGCCCUCCUGAAACAAGCAGAGACAUUAUUAAACAUCCAAGUUCCCUUGA
Molecule: long non-coding RNA, 584 nt
Organism: Micropterus salmoides (largemouth bass)
Lineage: Eukaryota; Metazoa; Chordata; Actinopteri; Centrarchiformes; Centrarchidae
Exons: 4
Source: RefSeq, a predicted model, not a curated record